AAGGGGAAAAGCGAAGGCCGCCCGCCUAUCGGCGAAACGCGCUGGAGGGCCUGCGAGGAGGCUGUUGCCGCCGCAGCAGGACCGAAGCGUCGCGAGCCGAUGGCGGCCGGAGCUAGACAGUACGAAAAGCGGAAGCGCCGUAAUUUCGCCUAAAGGCAGCCCGCGUCCUGCGGGCAACGGCGAAAUAUCGCCAUCGUGGCGAUCGCGAUGGGCAAAUGUUCUUCGCCUGCAAGGGUGCUUGCACCCGGAAGGCGAAGGUUAUUUGACCCCGAGCGGCGGCGAGCCGGAGUUAGACAAUUCGAAAAGCGGAGGCCGCAAUGGCCAACUGUCGAUACACAGCGCUUUCGUUUCGUUCGGUUUUGAGGGAAUGAGAAAUUCCUUCACUUGUUUUGCGCCUGCGUCUUCUAGCAGAUUCAAGGAAGAUGGAUUCCUCGGCGCAAAGCUGCAAGGAAGCAGACUCAAGGCAGUCGCUUCGUUCAGUUUUGAAGGAAUGAGAAAUUCCUUCAGUUGCUUUGCGUCUGCGUCUACAAGUGAAUUCAGAGAAGCUGGAUUCCUCGACGCAAGACUGCAGAGAAGUGAAUUCAAUGAAGUAGUCUCGUUCCUUGAAAACUAGAUAACCGGAAACGCAAAGGAAGAAGCCGAGAGCGCUGUA
RNAcentral lists this unclassified non-coding RNA (652 nucleotides) under Geobacillus stearothermophilus. RNAcentral describes it as "16S-23S ribosomal RNA intergenic spacer". The stretch from base 134 to 202 matches the Rfam family "Bacillaceae-1 RNA". The record is from RNAcentral. Lineage: Bacteria; Bacillati; Bacillota; Bacilli; Caryophanales; Anoxybacillaceae.